RNAcentral lists this non-coding RNA (44 nucleotides) under Echinostoma caproni. The record is from RNAcentral. Lineage: Eukaryota; Metazoa; Platyhelminthes; Trematoda; Plagiorchiida; Echinostomatidae.
GAACGCUGACGAGUCCCAAACAGGACGAAACAGCUGUCCAGUGC